Molecule: non-coding RNA, 548 nt
Organism: Jatropha curcas
Lineage: Eukaryota; Viridiplantae; Streptophyta; Magnoliopsida; Malpighiales; Euphorbiaceae
Source: RefSeq, a predicted model, not a curated record
ACAUCAAAUUUCAUUUACGGGCCAAUUUUUCCAAUCACUGACACGUUGUCGUUGAGGUUAUCCAGCCUUGGUUUCGUAAAUUUCGUUUUGGGUCUUUCUUGCGAGAAAUAUAGUUGACAGACAAAUUAAACACUCCAGCUAAAGCGACUACAUAAAAAUUCUGAAAGAAAACACUUUGCAAUCCAAGAGAGAUAUGCAUCUAUGGCCCUCAAUGAGAAUAAGAGACUCUUUCAAGAUCGGAUAUCUGAAAAAACUGGAAUGGAACCUCCAGAGGAUGAACAGAGAGAAGAAGCGGUCUCAACAAAGCAGUAGCAACCAAGAGAAACUCUUAGACGAUGAUACUGUUGAAAAAGUAAACGGUGUCGUUGAUGGAAGAGUUUCAGAAGAUACAUCCCUUUCAAAGAUUUCUUGUUUAGUUAAAUCUGCUUUGGUUUGCAGAGAAGUUCUCAUGGUUCUCACUUGCUGCUACUGUUGUUUCCGCUGUGGAGGUUUAACAAUACUUUCUACUUCCUGCAUUGAAAACAAAUACAAUAAUAUUGAUUUUAGUA